GAGUUUGAUCCUGGCUCAGAUUGAACGCUGGCGGCAGGCCUAACACAUGCAAGUCGGACGGUAGCACAGGAGAGCUUGCUCUCCGGGUGACGAGUGGCGGACGGGUGAGUAAUGUCUGGGAAACUGCCCGGUGGAGGGGGAUAACUACUGGAAACGGUAGCUAAUACCGCAUAACGUCUUCGGACCAAAGUGGGGGAUCUUCGGACCUCACGCCACCGGAUGUGCCCAGAUGGGAUUAGCUAGUAGGUGGGGUAAUGGCUCACCUAGGCGACGAUCCCUAGCUGGUCUGAGAGGAUGACCAGCCACACUGGAACUGAGACACGGUCCAGACUCCUACGGGACGCAGCAGA
RNAcentral lists this ribosomal RNA (350 nucleotides) under uncultured Erwinia sp. RNAcentral's name for it is "bacterial SSU rRNA". It matches the Rfam family "Bacterial small subunit ribosomal RNA", at positions 9 to 355 of the family's 1533-position model. Lineage: Bacteria; Pseudomonadati; Pseudomonadota; Gammaproteobacteria; Enterobacterales; Erwiniaceae. The record is from RNAcentral.